RNAcentral lists this transfer RNA (52 nucleotides) under Tetraclita rubescens. Its description in RNAcentral is "partial tRNA-Ile". The record is from RNAcentral. Lineage: Eukaryota; Metazoa; Arthropoda; Thecostraca; Balanomorpha; Tetraclitidae.
AAUAAGGUGCCUGAUAAAAGGGUUACUUUGAUAGAGUAAAUCAUGUAAGAUA